CUCUCUCAAAUUUCUCUCUCGGCUUCUCGCUUAUUUUUGCAACUCUCUCUUCUUCUCUUUUGGUUCGGUUGCAUCAAGAGAAAGGAAGAAGCUCUCUAGCUCUUCCUCUAGUCCUCUUUAAUUGGAAUUGCAUCAAAGAAGAAGGAUUGCAUCUUCUUCUCCCUUGGACGGCAAAUUUUGAAAAGGAGAAUCAAGGAUCCUCUUCAUCAUGAGAAGUUCUCUUAAUUCCUCUCUUUCUCUUCCUCACAAGUGUCUAGCAACAAAGAGGAAAGAAGGAUCUCUCUCUCUCGGGUUUUGAAUAAGUGAUUAUAUUUAUGGAUCAAUCAUUGUAGCAGGAAAGAACUGAAUGAAGGCAGGAGCUGCUAGGUUAUGGAUGAGACCUUUAGUUUGUAGAUGUUAUAUACAACGGUUAUGUAAUGUUUGUGCCGCAUGUGGUUAUGAGGAGGAGGAGUACCAGGAUUACCCUGAUCCUUAGGUGGAUCCUAUUGACAGUACUUGAGGCUAGCUUGCCUCCAUUUUGUGGAUUGCUGUGUUCCAGUCUUUCAUUAUAUUAUCUUGAGAACGAUAUUUAUAUUUCUGUUGGUGUGUAUUAGCGAUACUCUAGUUAUUUUGACUUGUAAAUUAUAUGUGUCUUGUGUGGCACAAAUACUAUCUUAUGUGUAAUUAUUAAGUUAAACUUUAUAUAUC
Alnus glutinosa is the source of this 687-nucleotide long non-coding RNA. RefSeq lists it as uncharacterized. NCBI's taxonomy places the organism in Eukaryota, Viridiplantae, Streptophyta, Magnoliopsida, Fagales, Betulaceae. The transcript has 5 exons. The record is from RefSeq and is a predicted model, not a curated record.